GAUGAACGCUGGCGGCGUGCCUAAUACAUGCAAGUCGAGCGAACAGAUGAGGAACUUGCUCCUCGGACGUUAGCGGCGGACGGGAGAGUAACACGUGGAUAACGUACCUAUAAGACUGGGAUAACUUGGGGAAACCGGAGCUAAUACCGGAUAAUAUAUUGAACCGCAGGGUUCAAUAGUGAGAGACGGUGUUGCUGUCACUUAUAGAUGGAUCCGCGCCGCAUGAGCUAGUUGGUAAGGUAACGGCUUACCAAGGCAACGAUGCGUAGCCGACCUGAGAGGGUGAUCGGCGACACUGGAACUGAGACACGGUCCAGACUCCUACGGGAGGCAGCAGUAGGGAAUCUUCCGCAAUGGGCGAAAGCCUGACGGAGCAACGCCGCGUGAGUGAUGAAGGUCUUCGGAUCGUAAACCUCUGUUAUUAGGGACGAACAGAUGUUUAAGUAACCAUGCACGUAUUGACGGUACCUAAUCAGAAAGCAACGGCUAACUACGUG
Molecule: ribosomal RNA, 497 nt
Filed under: uncultured bacterium
Lineage: Bacteria
Description: partial 16S ribosomal RNA
Rfam family: Bacterial small subunit ribosomal RNA
Source: RNAcentral